RNAcentral lists this ribosomal RNA (303 nucleotides) under Triticum aestivum (bread wheat). RNAcentral describes it as "partial small subunit ribosomal RNA". The record is from RNAcentral. Lineage: Eukaryota; Viridiplantae; Streptophyta; Magnoliopsida; Poales; Poaceae.
AAGGUACCACUUAAAGUUAAAAUAUUCAUGUGGUAUCUCCAUAGAGUUGUACUAACCAAAGACAACUUCACACGAUGCAACUGGUCAGGAAGUAUGAAGUGUUGUUUUUGUACUCAUGAUGAGACAAUUAAACACCUCUUUUUCGAAUGUAAGUUUGCGUGUUCUACGUGGUCAGUCAUCCAAAUAGCGUCAAAUUUGUGUCCGCCUACAAGUGUUAUCAAUAUUUUUGGUCAUUGGCUGGACGGUAUUUCAAAUAGGUACAAAACGCUUAUAAGGGUGGGAGGUUAUGUCUUACUAUGGUAG